Molecule: long non-coding RNA, 392 nt
Organism: Oncorhynchus keta (chum salmon)
Lineage: Eukaryota; Metazoa; Chordata; Actinopteri; Salmoniformes; Salmonidae
Exons: 4
Source: RefSeq, a predicted model, not a curated record
AUCGGAGGCUGCCUCCUUCUCUACGCCCACCACUCAGCAGUUCACUGACCCAGAGCCUGAGGGCCACAACUGCUAUGAGGGCUGGGAGGAGGACCUGCUGCCUGAGGAGAGGGAGGUUCCUCUGCUAAACCUCUACCUUACCACCAACAGAGUGGAGGACAUCGCCCUGAGGCUCGUCUCCCUGCGCCAGGCCUUCACUACCCUGCUUGGUUCCACCCUGAGCAGGAACCAUCUGUUUGUGGCGGGAAAGGUCCUCCUGGGCGCCCUGGUUCAGGCCAACCACAUGAUAACUCACUAACUCAUUCUCUUUCAAGGGAAAGAGAGCGUCCCUGAGGGGAAAUGUGUUCUGUUCACUAAGAUGCUCUUUUCUUUGUCAUAGGACGAGGCCAAGU